Molecule: long non-coding RNA, 1371 nt
Filed under: Canis lupus familiaris (dog)
Lineage: Eukaryota; Metazoa; Chordata; Mammalia; Carnivora; Canidae
Description: lncRNA (ENSCAFG00040003397.1)
Source: RNAcentral
CGGCGGUGGGGGGAGCUACAGCCACAGAGGGGCAGGGCCCGUGGGGGUGCGGGAACCCCUGCCCCCGCUGCUGGCCGUCGCCAGGAGGCCGUGCCCGCUCCCCCGCCCGGAGCCCAGGGCCUCUGGCUCUUCUGGGAGAGGCACGGACGUGGCCGGGGCGUCUUUGGAGCAUCCUGCUGGCCCGGCUGGCCUCGGGGGGUCUCAGAGCCCGAGUCGGUCGGCAGCCUGCAGCCGCAGGAGCCUGGGACGCGGCACAGCGCCUGCCUGACGCCGUCCCCCGCCCGUGUCCCCAGCCGUGGGCCCGCAGCCGCACACAGCCCCACUCGUUCACGCUUGGGGGUGAAGCAGCUCUCAGGCGCCGAGUGUCGGGGCGCGUGUGCCUCCUCCCACCCCUGUGACCCAGGAGGCCCGGCCACAGACAGAUGGCAGGGCCUGGCAGGGUGGGGGUGGCGGCAGGCGUCCCAGCCACGGGGGACCCGGGCUGGGGGUGGGGCCGUGGGCCGGGGCCUGGCGACAGGAAGCGUCCGCAAGGGGAAGGCGUGGGGAGGGCGCAGCCGAGACAUCCUGGCCCGUGGCCCUGAUGGGACGGUGGCCACUGAGCAGGACGGCGGCCAGCUGGGCUGGGACAGGCUCCCGGGCGCCCGGGCCUGUCGUGCCGACCGUGGGCCUCUGCUCACGGAGCCCCUGCAGGCGGGCGUGGAGCCUCAGCCACGCACACAGCACCGGGGGCCCGGCCAGGAGCGGCCCGGGAGGCACAAUCCUCCCUUUGUUCCGCGGCUGCCGGGAGCCCGCGGCCAAGAGGAAACGGGGGAGCGGCCAGCAGCCCUCACCGCCGGCAGGCCCCGCUCCAGGGCCCGGGGACGCCAGGCUGCGCCCGCGGAGCUGCUGGGGGGGGGGAGCACGGGGGAGCCUGGGCCCUCCGCCUCAGGUCAGGGCCCCCGCUCACGGCCCCGAGGGCACAGCCCCAGGUCACGGCCCGGUUACAGCCCCCCCCAGGUCACAGCCCCCAGGGCAUGGCCCCAGGUCACGGUCCCCCCCCCACCCCGUCGCAGCCCCCCCCCAGGUCACAGCCUGUGGUCACAGCCCUCGGUCAUGGUCAUGGCACCGCCCAGGUCACGGCCCCAGGUCACGGCCCCCAGGUCUCAGCCCCCCACAGGUCACAGCCCCUGGUCACAGCCCCAGACAUGGCCCCCAGGUCACGACCCCUGGUCACAGCCCCCAGGUCAUGGCCUCAGGUCAUGGCCCCAAGUAUGGCCCCUAGGUCACAGCCCUAGGUCACAGCCCGCCCUGUCACAGCCCCAGGUCACGGCAUACCCCCUCCCCCACCUGGGCAACCCGCAGGCUCCUCUUCCUCCGCCCUCCUGUCCCUAG